RNAcentral lists this ribosomal RNA (407 nucleotides) under uncultured bacterium. RNAcentral describes it as "bacterial SSU rRNA". It matches the Rfam family "Bacterial small subunit ribosomal RNA", at positions 29 to 436 of the family's 1533-position model. The record is from RNAcentral.
AUUGAACGCUGGCGGAAUGCUUUACACAUGCAAGUCGAGCGGCAGCGCGGGGGCAACCCUGGCGGCGAGCGGCGAACGGGUGAGUAAUAUAUCGGAACGUACCCCGUCGUGGGGGAGUAACACAGCGAAAGCUGUGCUAAUACCGCAUACGACCUGAGGGUGAAAGCGGGGGAGUCGCAAGACCUCGCGCGAUGGGAGCGGCCGAUAUCGGAUUAGCUUGUUGGUGAGGUAAAGGCUCACCAAGGCGACGAUCCGUAGCUGGUCUGAGAGGACGACCAGCCACACUGGAACUGAGACACGGUCCAGACUCCUACGGGAGGCAGCAGUGGGGAAUUUUGGACAAUGGGGGCGAACCCUGAUCCAGCCAUUCCGCGUGAGUGAAGAAGGCCUCGGUUGUAAGACUCUUU